UUCCGUAGGUGAACCUGCGGAAGGAUCAUUAUUSMAUUUUAUUAAUGAGGAGUUGAGUUGUUGCUGGCCUUUUCUACCUUAAUUUGGCAGGAGGGGCAUGUGCACACCUUCUCUUUCAUCCAUCACACCCCCUGUGCACUUGUGAGACAGCAAUAGUUGGUGGAUUUAAUUCCAUCAUCCAUUUGCUGUCUACUUAAUUUACACACACUCUACUUAAUUUAAACUGAAUGUAAUUGAUGUAACGCAUCUAAUACUAAGUUUCAACAACGGAUCUCUUGGCUCUCGCAUCGAUGAAGAACGCAGCGAAAUGCGAUAAGUAAUGUGAAUUGCAGAAUUCAGUGAAUCAUCGAAUCUUUGAACGCACCUUGCGCUCCUUGGUAUUCCUUGGAGCAUGCCUGUUUGAGUAUCAUGAAAUCUUCAAAGUAAACCUUUUGUUAAUUCAAUUGGUCUUUUUUACUUUGGUUUUGGAGGAUCUUAUUGCAGCUUCACACCUGCUCCUCUUUGUGCAUUAGCUGGAUCUCAGUGUUAUGCUUGGUUCCACUCGGCGUGAUAAGUU
RNAcentral lists this ribosomal RNA (556 nucleotides) under Rhizoctonia solani. RNAcentral's name for it is "eukaryotic LSU rRNA". The stretch from base 256 to 409 matches the Rfam family "5.8S ribosomal RNA". The record is from RNAcentral. Lineage: Eukaryota; Fungi; Basidiomycota; Agaricomycetes; Cantharellales; Ceratobasidiaceae.